AAGGGGGUCAUCCCGACUUACCAACCCGAUGCAAACUGCGAAUACCGGAGAAUGUUAUCACGGGAGACACACGGCGGGUGCUAACGUCCGUCGUGAAGAGGGAAACAACCCAGACCGCCAGCUAAGGUCCCAAAGUCAUGGUUAAGUGGGAAACGAUGUGGGAAGGCCCAGACAGCCAGGAUGUUGGCUUAGAAGCAGCCAUCAUUUAAAGAAAGCGUAAUAGCUCACUGGUCGAGUCGGCCUGCGCGGAAGAUGUAACGGGGCUAAACCAUGCACCGAAGCUGCGGCAGCGACGCUGAUGCGUUGUUGGGUAGGGGAGCGUUCUGUAAGCCUGCGAAGGUGUGCUGUGAGGCAUGCUGGAGGUAUCAGAAGUGCGAAUGCUGACAUAAGUAACGAUAAAGCGGGUGAAAAGCCCGCUCGCCGGAAGACCAAGGGUUCCUGUCCAACGUUAAUCGGGGCAGGGUGAGUCGACCCCUAAGGCGAGGCCGAAAGGCGUAGUCGAUGGGAAACAGGUUAAUAUUCCUGUACUUGGUGUUACUGCGAAGGGGGGACGGAGAAGGCUAUGUUGGCCGGGCGACGGUUGUCCCGGUUUAAGCGUGUAGGCUGGUUUUCCAGGCAAAUCCGGAAAAUCAAGGCUGAGGCGUGAUGACGAGGCACUACGGUGCUGAAGCAACAAAUGCCCUGCUUCCAGGAAAAGCCUCUAAGCAUCAGGUAACAUCAAAUCGUACCCCAAACCGACACAGGUGGUCAGGUAGAGAAUACCAAGGCGCUUGAGAGAACUCGGGUGAAGGAACUAGGCAAAAUGGUGCCGUAACUUCGGGAGAAGGCACGCUGAUAUGUAGGUGAAGUCCCUCGCGGAUGGAGCUGAAAUCAGUCGAAGAUACCAGCUGGCUGCAACUGUUUAUUAAAAACACAGCACUGUGCAAACACGAAAGUGGACGUAUACGGUGUGACGCCUGCCCGGUGCCGGAAGGUUAAUUGAUGGGGU
This 988-nucleotide ribosomal RNA is filed under the name Escherichia coli. RNAcentral's name for it is "partial 23S ribosomal RNA". It matches the Rfam family "Bacterial large subunit ribosomal RNA", at positions 920 to 1890 of the family's 2925-position model. Lineage: Bacteria; Pseudomonadati; Pseudomonadota; Gammaproteobacteria; Enterobacterales; Enterobacteriaceae. The record is from RNAcentral.